UCUUGAUCCAGGUGUAUGUGUGUACUGGUGGGGCAGCUUCACUCAUGCAGGUCAGAGUCACUGGACUUCCCUCAGUUAUUUCACCAGAUGGAGCAGACACAACUCUUGUGUUC
This is a long non-coding RNA of Alosa sapidissima (American shad), 113 nucleotides long. RefSeq lists it as uncharacterized. NCBI's taxonomy places the organism in Eukaryota, Metazoa, Chordata, Actinopteri, Clupeiformes, Clupeidae. The record is from RefSeq and is a predicted model, not a curated record. The transcript is spliced from 3 exons.